Molecule: long non-coding RNA, 249 nt
Filed under: Carica papaya (papaya)
Lineage: Eukaryota; Viridiplantae; Streptophyta; Magnoliopsida; Brassicales; Caricaceae
Description: long non-coding RNA (CPAP_LNC008903)
Source: RNAcentral
AUAACAAUGAGCAAAGUCUUACAAAGUGAAACAAGUGCAACAUGGUCUUGAGUCCUACAAGUAUUUUUCCAGCAUAAGUCUUCUCCAAAGUUUCCUCUUUUGAACCUCAGGACUCGAGAUUAUACAUUUUGAAAUAUUAACACAAACAUCUAAAUUUUGUGUUUGUACUUGAAGAAAAAGAAUCAUGAAAUAAUAUUAAUUUUUUUUCUUGUUGAUGGGAAUUCAUUGCCUAGCCUUUGAUUUAUAUUA